Molecule: ribosomal RNA, 274 nt
Filed under: uncultured bacterium
Lineage: Bacteria
Description: partial 16S ribosomal RNA
Rfam family: Bacterial small subunit ribosomal RNA
Source: RNAcentral
ACACGGAGGGCGCAAGCGUUGCUCGGAAUCACUGGGCGUAAAGCGGGUGUAGGCGGUCUAGUAAGUCAGAUGUGAAAGCCCACGGCUCAACCGUGGAAGUGCAUCUGAAACUGCUAGACUUGAGUGCCGGAGAGGGAAGUGGAAUUCCUGGUGUAGGGGUGAAAUCCGUAGAUAUCAGGAGGAACACCGGUGGCGAAGGCGACUUCCUGGACGGCCACUGACGCUGAGACCCGAAAGCGUGGGGAGCAAACAGGAUUAGAAACCCUAGUAGUCC